This is a long non-coding RNA of Photinus pyralis (common eastern firefly), 1589 nucleotides long. RefSeq lists it as uncharacterized. NCBI's taxonomy places the organism in Eukaryota, Metazoa, Arthropoda, Insecta, Coleoptera, Lampyridae. The record is from RefSeq and is a predicted model, not a curated record. The transcript has 2 exons.
ACGGAUCGAUGUUUUUUCUGUUUAAUUACAUAUAUAUUUCAGGUGAUGAAAAAGAAUUCUUAUGGUAGUGUCAGGAUGGCCGUGUGUUCGUUAGCUGAAGCGGCUGCAAAGAAGAUUAACAUUCCCCAAAGCUGUAAGGGACCGGUCUUAGGUCAUCGCGUUCGUCUUUUACUUAUGAGUACGUCCGCAUUACGCGAUGUUAAAUCCUGAUUUAAUGUAUGUGUUCCUAGUGUACUUACGUCGAUUAUUACCCGUGCUUCAGUGCGAUUAAGAGUUUUGUGCAACGUAAAAGGUGCGACAUAAAAUUUUGUUCUUCUGCUUGUGUGGCUUUAUUUCAAGCACGUAAUGAAGAAAUCACCGUUUACACCAGCCGACGCCGACGCUAUGAUCAGCUAUCGAGAAGGAUAUGACAUGGAUAAGGCUGCCCUCAUCAUCAGUCCUCGUCUCCAGUAGCCGUUGAAGAGUAACCUACUGCUGAUCUACGGAAUCUCAUAGCCGUUAAAAGCACAGAAUUUGCCUUUUUUCACAUUAGCUCGUGUUUUGCUGUUCUCAUGGUGUAGACCAGGUAUAAAAAUAAAUAAACGAAUUCAUAGACUAUAUUCGACCUAGUCUCGUGUGAUUAGUACAGUAUUAAAACUUUUAAAUCAAAAAACAAAAUCUUAUCGCUACCGAAAAUAAGAGAAACCGCCAACGAGCGUAUUUAGCGAAAACUCUUACGAAAAAAACAGAUUUUGAAAUUUGAUAACAAACAUUUACGUGUUUCAUCAUAUAAAACGCAUAGGUACGUUGCUGCGUGCCUACAACACACACACAGUGAUUACAGUAAUUUCUGUUUCUGCAUCGGGCAAAUGCCAACUAGCAAUCCAUAAAAACUGAAAGCAUGUAACUCAUUCUGUAAUGUAAGCGUAUUAUUAAAGUAGAUCUAUAUCAGAAUUCCGGAAGUAAAAGCGUGUUUUGUAAUGGCUGCUCGGCACUUCCGUUUUUAGGUGGGCGGUACUGUUUACACGUGUACGUACAACCCCUAAAUCGGUUUCCAGUAUAUUGUAAGAGUACUUGCAUGUCAUGUUUGGGUUACAUGCAAUAUAUUUCUUGUGUGACAUCAAUCGUGUGUCUACACUACCUACGUGUAGCUAACAAGUAAAAAUAGUGUACUCGUCCUUCACUUGACAUUAGCAUUUUUAUGUAAAUUUUUUUCUAGUUUUGACAAUUACCGAUCAAGUUGGGGGCGAGAAACGUACAUCUUUCAAAUAAUAAAGUUGUUUCAAAGCUGGACUGGGAUUAGACUGACAACUUCCGUUUACGGUUGAAAUUUUAAUUACAAUAUCUAAUCUAUCUCUAAUCUUAAUCCAGUAGAAUUUUUUAAUCAUACGCUUAAUAGCAUUUUAAGUGAAUUCAUUCAUUUGUCUACAUGAGGUAGUCGUGUUUACAUUUUGUAACUUGGAGUCGGUUAAGUCAGGUACAGAAAUUCGGUUAAUGUGAAAUAAAUAUGGUAAUUACUUUAUGCUAUUACAUAGGGUGAUUUCUGUUUCUUUAGGAUUUUCUUACUGUGAACUUAAAAAUAAAAUGAAUGAUAUUUUUAUUACCAAUUA